GUGCUCGCUUCGGCAGUACAUAUACUAAAAUUGGAACGAUACAGAGAUUAGCAUUGUCUCUGAGCAAGGAUGACACACAAAUUUGUGAAGCACUCCAUAUUAAA
Small nuclear RNA from Myotis myotis, 104 nucleotides. NCBI's taxonomy places the organism in Eukaryota, Metazoa, Chordata, Mammalia, Chiroptera, Vespertilionidae. The record is from RefSeq and is a predicted model, not a curated record.